AACGAACGCUGGCGGCAUGCCUAACACAUGCAAGUCGAACGAUGCCUUCGGGCAUAGUGGCGCACGGGUGCGUAACGCGUGGGAAUCUGCCUUUCGGUUCGGAAUAACUCAGGGAAACUUGAGCUAAUACCGGAUAACGUCGCAAGACCAAAGAUUUAUCACCGAAAGAUGAGCCCGCGUAGGAUUAGCUAGUUGGUGAGGUAAAGGCUCACCAAGGCGACGAUCCUUAGCUGGUCUGAGAGGAUGAUCAGCCACACUGGGACUGAGACGCGGCCCAGACCCCAAGGGGGGGGGGAAUGGGGGAUAUUUGAAAAUGGGGGAAAAGCCUAACCCGGAAUGCCCGGGGAGGUGAUAAAGGCUUUAGGGUUGAAAGGCUUUUUUCCCCGGGAGAAAAAGGCCGUAACCGGGGAAAAAGGCCCGGGCAAACCCGGG
RNAcentral lists this ribosomal RNA (432 nucleotides) under uncultured bacterium. Its description in RNAcentral is "partial 16S ribosomal RNA". It matches the Rfam family "Bacterial small subunit ribosomal RNA", at positions 29 to 506 of the family's 1533-position model. The record is from RNAcentral.